CCUACGGGAGGCAGCAGUGAGGAAUAUUGGACAAUGGAGGCAACUCUGAUCCAGCCAUGCCGCGUGCAGGAAGACUGCCCUAUGGGUUGUAAACUGCUUUUAUACAGGAAGAAAUGUACCUACGUGUAGGUAUUUGACGGUACUGUACGAAUAAGGAUCGGCUAACUCCGUGCCAGCAGCCGCGGUAAUACGGAGGAUCCAAGCGUUAUCCGGAAUCAUUGGGUUUAAAGGGUCCGUAGGCGGUCUUUUAAGUCAGAGGUGAAAUCCUACAGCUCAACUGUAGAAUUGCCUUUGAUACUGAAGGACUUGAGUUAUUGUGAAGUAGUUAGAAUGUGUGGUGUAGCGGUGAAAUGCAUAGAGAUCACACAGAAUACCGAUUGCGAAGGCAGAUUACUAACAAUAUACUGACGCUGAGGGACGAAAGCGUGGGUAGCGAACAG
Molecule: ribosomal RNA, 440 nt
Filed under: uncultured bacterium
Lineage: Bacteria
Description: bacterial SSU rRNA
Rfam family: Bacterial small subunit ribosomal RNA
Source: RNAcentral